RNAcentral lists this microRNA precursor (123 nucleotides) under Trifolium pratense (red clover). RNAcentral describes it as "pre miRNA MIR396". The record is from RNAcentral. Lineage: Eukaryota; Viridiplantae; Streptophyta; Magnoliopsida; Fabales; Fabaceae.
UUUCCAAUUUUCCCUCAUGUUUUCUCUCCUUUUGUUUAAUCCAAUAGUUGAUUCUUUCUCUUCUUUCAUAUAUCAACCAUUGAUUAAACAAAAGGAGAGAAAACAUAAGGGAAAAUUGGGGAG